This 253-nucleotide ribosomal RNA is filed under the name uncultured bacterium. RNAcentral's name for it is "partial 16S ribosomal RNA". It matches the Rfam family "Bacterial small subunit ribosomal RNA", at positions 524 to 776 of the family's 1533-position model. The record is from RNAcentral.
GACGGAGGAUGCAAGCGUUAUCCGGAAUGAUUGGGCGUAAAGCGUCCGCAGGUGGCAGUUCAAGUCUGCUGUCAAAGACCGGGGCUUAACUUCGGAAAGGCAGUGGAAACUGAACAGCUAGAGUAUGGUAGGGGCAGAGGGAAUUCCUGGUGUAGCGGUGAAAUGCGUAGAGAUCAGGAAGAACAUCGGUGGCGAAGGCGCUCCGCUGGACCAUAACUGACACUCAGGGACGAAAGCUAGGGGAGCGAAUGGG